RNAcentral lists this ribosomal RNA (1441 nucleotides) under uncultured Candidatus Pelagibacter sp. RNAcentral's name for it is "bacterial SSU rRNA". It matches the Rfam family "Bacterial small subunit ribosomal RNA". Lineage: Bacteria; Pseudomonadati; Pseudomonadota; Alphaproteobacteria; Candidatus Pelagibacterales; Candidatus Pelagibacteraceae. The record is from RNAcentral.
AGAGUUUGAUCCUGGCUCAGAACGUACGCUGGCGGCACGCCUAACACAUGCAAGUCGAACGAAGUAGCAAUACUUAGUGGCAGACGGGUGAGUAACAUGUAGGUAUCUACCCUUUGGCCUGGAAUAACACGAGGAAACUUGUGCUAAUACCGGAUAAGUCUUUACGGAGAAAGCUUUAUGCACCAUUGGAUGAGCCUGCACUUGAUUAGUUUGUUGGUGGGGUAAUGGCCUACCAAGACUGUGAUCAAUAGCUGAUUUGAGAGAAUGAUCAGCCACAUUGGGACUGAGACACGGCCCAAACUCCUACGGGAGGCAGCAGUGGGGAAUCUUGCACAAUGGAGGAAACUCUGAUGCAGCGAUGCCGCGUGAGUGAAGAAGGCCCUUGGGUUGUAAAGCUCUUUCGUCGGGGAAGAGAAUGACUGUACCCGAAUAAGAAGGUCCGGCUAACUUCGUGCCAGCAGCCGCGGUAAUACGAAGGGACCUAGCGUAGUUCGGAAUUACUGGGCUUAAAGAGUUCGUAGGUGGUUGAAAAAGUUAGUGGUGAAAUCCCAGAGCUUAACUCUGGAACUGCCAUUAAAACUUUUCAGCUAGAGUAUGAUAGAGGAAAGCAGAAUUUCUAGUGUAGAGGUGAAAUUCGUAGAUAUUAGAAAGAAUACCAAUUGCGAAGGCAGCUUUCUGGAUCAUUACUGACACUGAGGAACGAAAGCAUGGGUAGCGAAGAGGAUUAGAUACCCUCGUAGUCCAUGCCGUAAACGAUGUGUGUUAGACGUUGGAAAUUUAUUUUCAGUGUCGCAGCGAAAGCGAUAAACACACCGCCUGGGGAGUACGACCGCAAGGUUAAAACUCAAAUGAAUUGACGGGGACCCGCACAAGUAGUGGAGCAUGUGGUUUAAUUCGAAGAUACGCGCAGAACCUUACCAACACUUGACAUGUUCGUCGCGACUCUAAGAGAUUAGAGUUUUCGGUUCGGCCGGACGAAACACAGGUGCUGCAUGGCUGUCGUCAGCUCGUGUCGUGAGAUGUUGGGUUAAGUCCCGCAACGAGCGCAACCCUCACUUUUAGUUGCCAUCAUUAAGUUGGGCACUCUGAAAGAACUGCCAGUGAUAAGCCGGAGGAAGGUGGGGAUGACGUCAAGUCCUCAUGGCCCUUACGUGUUGGGCUACACACGUGCUACAAUGGUAUCUACAACAGGAAGCAAGACUGCGAGGUCAAGCAAAUCCUUAAAAGAUACCUCAGUUCGGAUUGCACUCUGCAACUCGAGUGCAUGAAGCUGGAAUUACUAGUAAUCGUGGAUCAGCGUGCCACGGUGAAUGCGUUCCCGGGUCUUGUACACACCGCCCGUCACACCAUGGGAGUUGGUUCUACCUUAAGGCAAGGCUUAAAACCCUUGACCACGGUAUAGUCAGCGACUGGGGUGAAGUCGUAACAAGGUAGCCAAGGG